RNAcentral lists this ribosomal RNA (47 nucleotides) under uncultured fungus. RNAcentral's name for it is "partial 28S ribosomal RNA". The record is from RNAcentral. Lineage: Eukaryota; Fungi.
UUGAUCUCAAUCAGGUAGGACUACCCGCUAACUUAAGCAUAUCAAUA